UACAGAGGGUGCAAGCGUUAAUCGGAAUUACUGGGCGUAAAGCGUGCGUAGACGGUUAUGUAAGUCGGGUGUGAAAGCCCCGGGCUCAACCUGGGAAUUGCAUUCGAGACUGUGUAGCUAGGGUACGGAAGAGGGAAGCGGAAUUUCAGGUGUAGCGGUGAAAUGCGUAGAUAUCGGAAGGAACACCAGUGGCGAAAGCGGCUUCCUGGUCCAGCACCGACGUUCAGGCACGAAAGCGUGGGGAGCAAACAGG
This 253-nucleotide ribosomal RNA is filed under the name uncultured bacterium. RNAcentral's name for it is "partial 16S ribosomal RNA". It matches the Rfam family "Bacterial small subunit ribosomal RNA", at positions 524 to 776 of the family's 1533-position model. The record is from RNAcentral.